Molecule: ribosomal RNA, 253 nt
Filed under: uncultured bacterium
Lineage: Bacteria
Description: partial 16S ribosomal RNA
Rfam family: Bacterial small subunit ribosomal RNA
Source: RNAcentral
UACAGAGGUCUCAAGCGUUGUUCGGAUUCAUUGGGCGUAAAGGGUGCGUAGGCGGCGCGGUAAGUCGGUUGUGAAAUCUCGGAGCUUAACUCCGAAACUGCAUUCGAUACUGCCGUGCUUGAGGACUGGAGAGGAGACUGGAAUUUACGGUGUAGCGGUGAAAUGCGUAGAUAUCGUAAGGAAGACCAGUGGCGAAGGCGGGUCUCUGGACAGUUCCUGACGCUGAGGCACGAAGGUCAGGGGAGCAAACGGG